Molecule: long non-coding RNA, 1854 nt
Organism: Dama dama (fallow deer)
Lineage: Eukaryota; Metazoa; Chordata; Mammalia; Artiodactyla; Cervidae
Exons: 2
Source: RefSeq, a predicted model, not a curated record
GCGGCCUCGGUCCGGUUUACCUCCGCGGCCCUCCCCCGCGCCCGGCCGCGGCCUCUCACUACCCGCCGGCCGCACCCUAGCGCGAGCCUCCGGCCCACUUCCUGCCUCCGCCCCUCCGGCCCUGGCAGAACUUCCUUUGCGAAACUGGGCCGCCCCGGGCCCUGGCAGGAAGUGCCCUCCCGGCUCCGCCUCGCCUGCUGCCCACGGUGGCCGCUAGAGGCCUCUCUGUCUUCGCCGACGCCCGGGCUCCCCGGCGCCGGGCCUCUCCCGCCGGCUCCCUGCCUGGGCGCAGACAUCCCACCCUCUCCCCGAGGCUGGAAGGAUGAGGGCCGGCCUAGAACGAGGCCCUCUCCCGGCGAAAAGCAUCACGAAGCCAUCACCCGGGAGGAAAGGACGCAGCACCCUCGCUCGGCACCCUGAGCUCCAGUCCCACUCUGAGCCGAAGCCCGAGAGCCCUUGGCCGGGUCAACACCGAGCCCUGCCUGCCUCCUGCCCGGCCCUCCUCGGGGUCCUGCUCUAUUUCCUGCUCUCCAUGCAAACACUCGCGCCCCCCAGAUUUGCAUCCUGAAUGGCCUGUCACCGCAGAGUCACCAGCGCUCCCAACUUUGAGACCUCAGCCAGCCUUCUACACACACACACACACACACACACACACACACACUUCAUCCACAGAGUUCAAUGCAACCACAUGGAUUGUGGUGCCAGGCACCGUGCCAGGACCCGGGGGUAUGCCAUGACUAGGCUGCGCUUCUGCUCUCAAGGAACUCACGUCCUAGUUGGAGAACAGACAUCUGAAUAUGUUGUCCAAACCUGAAAUGCUGCAAGUGGGGGGGCAAGAGAUAACAUGGGGGGAGCACAGGGGCCAGCCUAACCUCCCCUGGGGGUACAUGAGGAGCCUGGAAAUCCUUGCGAAGGAUUUGGGAAGGAGGCAAGGUUCAGGGGAAGGUGGUCUGUGCAGGGAGGUCCAACAGGAAAGGAAGCCAAAGCCUCAAGGGACACAGUAGGGAGCGUGGGAAGUGACAGUUUUGAAAUUGCACACAAGGGGGGAAGGAGGGGAAAUGACACUGCAGAAAGCAGGAGCGAGAUAACGCAGAUCUGUAGCCAGACCAAGGGGGUGGCCUUUUCCUUGCAGGCAGGGGGUGCCCCAGAGGGACACUGAGCAGGAGAGAGUCAUAUAGAAACCUGGCAGCCACCCCCUGGAAGCUAUAUCAGGGUGUGUGCUGUUCUGUCCGACUCUGUGACCCAAUAGACUGUAAUCCACCAGGCUCCUCUGUCCCUGGAAUUUUCCAGGCAAGAAUACUGGAGCGGGUUGCCGUUUCCUGCUCCAAGGGAAUCUUCCCAACCCCUGGAUCAAACCCGCAUCUUUGUCUCCUAUGUUGGCAAACAGAUUCUUUACCACUGAGCUACCUGGUUAGGGACCUAAGACUCUCCCUAUGGGGAGACCACAGACAUGGUUCCAACGACAGAGGUCGAAGACCUGAACUGCAGCCAAGACAGUGAAGAGGGAAGGACGAAGUGAUGGAUGUGACACAGGAGAUGAACUUGGCAGCGAGCUCCGGCUGGUUGGCUCUUGGGGCAGGGGUGGAGGGGAGGGAGGAAGGCAACCUGACUUCUGGCUUUGGAGACUUCGGCUGUGAAAAUGUCUCUACCUGAGGGGUUUAGGUACUCACUGCUUGCUUGUUACUCACAGAAUCAUGGAUACACCACUGCUGACAAGAGUGUACAUUUGGUGCAGCCUCUUUGGAGAAUAAUUUGACCAUCGAAAAUAUUUUCAAAAUGCAGACACUUUUUGAUCUAGCAGUUGGAUUUUUAGGAAUUUAUGUGGUAGAUAAAAUGUAUAUUCAUAUAACUGUA